Molecule: small RNA, 127 nt
Filed under: Marmota monax (woodchuck)
Lineage: Eukaryota; Metazoa; Chordata; Mammalia; Rodentia; Sciuridae
Source: RNAcentral
GCUAGGUAUAGUGCUGCAUGCCUGUAAUCCCAGCAACUCGGGAGGCUGAGGCAGGAGGAUUGCAAGUUCAAGGCCAGUCUCAGCAACUUAGCAAGGCCCUCAGCAACUUAGCAGCACCCUGCCUCAA